AAGCAGAGGACAGAGUUUGCUCCCCAGAGCCCACAUUAAGGAGACAAGCGGUAUGUGAGGUGGCAUGUGCUGUGAAGCCAGAGCAAGGAUGGCAGACAGUUGGCUGGUCAGGGGGUUCUGCAGGGAGAGGCAAUCAUCGCCAAACUGGACAACACAAGCUCACUGCCCAGGACCUACGUGACUGACAAGUGCAAGUUGUCCUCUAACUCUUUCUGUCUCUAAGCUUAGCAUCCAGUUUGCAUGUGCUUCUCUUCCAAGGAACUGUGGCACCACAGCCUACUGAGCUGAGAUCACGAAGGCAGAGGUAGAGAUUUUCUGUUGAUCUCAACAGCAGUGACCUGUCAAGCCAUCCAAUGAGAUGAAUGUGAACUCCGAUGCUGUCAAGUUACCCAUUGCUAACUCACUCCAACCUGGAAAGCUCUUCAAAUGUAACCAUCAUCUACCAGCUAGGGGUUCACCCAGUAAGUGGGGAUAUAUUACAGCCAAAGACACAGUGCUCCAGAAAGAUCCUCAAAGUUUCCAUUUUUGCUCUCAAUCUAAUCCAUGUCACCAUAUUGCUUUGGUUUUAAUAUCAUGGCUUUCAAUAUCAUUGACCCAAAGCUCACUAAUACCUAAAAUCAGCAUAUUGAGUGUAUCCAUCUCAUCAUCCAGAAAAGUUUAAACAAAUGAGAGGGGUGUGUGAUUUGAUGAUACCCGGUACGAAAGCAGAAGUGGGAACGAUCUGAGGGAUGAGAGGAAGUAAGCAGAGGAGAAACAGGAGGGUUGUGACUCAUGUAUAUGCAAAUGCCAUCAUGAAACCCAUUGUGUGUGUGCUGACUAAAAAAAAUCAACUUACAGCAUGUUUUAAGACGAAAAAUAAAAGGGAUGGGGCUGGAAAG
Molecule: long non-coding RNA, 878 nt
Organism: Mastomys coucha (southern multimammate mouse)
Lineage: Eukaryota; Metazoa; Chordata; Mammalia; Rodentia; Muridae
Exons: 3
Source: RefSeq, a predicted model, not a curated record